AUGAACGCUGACAGAAUGCUUAACACAUGCAAGUCAACUUGAACUUCGGUUUGGGUGGCGGACGGGUGAGUAACGCGUAAAGAACUUGCCUCACAGCUAGGGACAACAUUUGGAAACGAAUGCUAAUACCUGAUAUUAUGAUUUUAGGGCAUCCUAGAAUUAUGAAAGCUAUAUGCACUGUGAGAGAGCUUUGCGUCCCAUUAGCUAGUUGGAGAGGUAACGGCUCACCAAGGCGAUGAUGGGUAGCCGGCCUGAGAGGGUGAACGGCCACAAGGGGACUGAGACACGGCCCUUACGCCUACGGGAGGCAGCAGUGAGGAAUAUUGGACAAUGGACCAAGAGUCUGAUCCAGCAAUUCUGUGUGCACGAUGAAGUUUUUCGGAAUGUAAAGUGCUUUCAGUUGGGAAGAAAAAAAUGACGGUACCAACAGAAGAAGUGACGGCUAAAUACGUG
Molecule: ribosomal RNA, 453 nt
Filed under: uncultured bacterium
Lineage: Bacteria
Description: partial 16S ribosomal RNA
Rfam family: Bacterial small subunit ribosomal RNA
Source: RNAcentral